UACGAAGGGGGGUAGCGUUGCUCGGAAUCACUGGGCGUAAAGCGCACGUAGGCGGAUUGUUAAGUCAGGGGUGAAAUCCUGGAGCUCAACUCCAGAACUGCCUUUGAUACUGGCGAUCUUGAGUCCGGGAGAGGUGAGUGGAAUUGCGAGUGUAGAGGUGAAAUUCAUAGAUAUUCGCAAGAACACCAGUGGCGAAGGCGGCUCACUGGCCCGGUACUGACGCUGAGGUGCGAAAGCGUGGGGAGCAAACAGG
RNAcentral lists this ribosomal RNA (253 nucleotides) under uncultured bacterium. RNAcentral describes it as "partial 16S ribosomal RNA". It matches the Rfam family "Bacterial small subunit ribosomal RNA", at positions 524 to 776 of the family's 1533-position model. The record is from RNAcentral.